GCAUGCAGGGCGCGCGGUCGUGCUGCAUUAUUCAUAACACAUAGAUGACCACGCCCUCUGCGUGCAGAAGAGGCACAAAGUCUCCGCCCCCAACUACUGUAUAUUCAUAAUUCGCAGGUGGCCCCACCUCUCCAGGCCCUAGAGGUGGCCACUUCCACGCUGUAACUCCGCCUCCCCACGCGCACGCCUCCAGGCCCCGCCUUAUGUAUAAUUCCUCAGUUUCGAGGCCCCGCCCCACAGGCCUCUGACUUGAUGCAUUAUUUAUGAGAUCUCCUUUGCCUUCCGUCUUUGGCUUCUGCAGACCAGCGGAGAGGGCGUGUGGGAGGCGGAGCUUGAGGCUGGCCUGACUGCUGGGCGGGGCCGUGUAAAAGAAGGCGCGCGUUGGACGGUGGGUUGGGCCACUGCGCCUUCCCUUAAGGUGGGCGGCCGGGAUUCCGGGACGUGGAGCUGCGGGAAAGCUAGGAGGAGGAGGUGGAUCCGGGAAACUUCCUAGGACCAGAGGAGACUUCCAAGAGGGUGAAACCCAGCUCCCCACAGGCCUCACCCGUGGUGGACUACAGAGCCCUUUUCCAGAAAACAACUUUAUUAGCUCCGGUCUCCCUAAGUCACAAAGUGGCCAGGCUGGGCUCCAACUUGCCAUCCUGCCUCAGCCUCCCACAGUGCUGGGAUUGCUCGAGUGGCCACCACGCCCGGAGUUCGACCUUGUAAUUCCUCGGCACUUAAUACCUUCACAAUGUUGUGUCCUUACUGCUCUAAUUCCAGCAUGCUUCCAUUUCCCCAGAAGUGAAUUCCGCGGGCUGCAGUCACUCACUCCCCAUCCCCACCCCUAGCCCCUGGCUGCCACUAAUCUACUUCUGGUCUUUGGAUUCCCUUUCCUUUAAUGUUAUGUUUCCGAGGUUAGUUAUCCUCAUAGCAGGGAUCAGUGCCUGGUUUUGUGUAGUUCCCCCCCCCCCUUUUUUUUUGAGACAGGUCUCACUAUAUAGCUCAGGCUGACGAUCCUCCUGCCUCAGCGUCCAGAGUGCUAGGUGUGCACCGCUAUGCCCAGCUCCCUUCUGUUUUCAUGACAGAAUAAUAUUCCACUAUAUGAAAUGAUCACGUUUUGUUUAUCCACUCACCCAUUAAACGUUUGAGUGGCUCCUUUCUUA
This is a non-coding RNA of Heterocephalus glaber (naked mole-rat), 1145 nucleotides long. The record is from RefSeq and is a predicted model, not a curated record. Lineage: Eukaryota; Metazoa; Chordata; Mammalia; Rodentia; Bathyergidae.